This is a long non-coding RNA of Mytilus californianus (California mussel), 1450 nucleotides long. RefSeq lists it as uncharacterized. The transcript is spliced from 2 exons. The record is from RefSeq and is a predicted model, not a curated record. Lineage: Eukaryota; Metazoa; Mollusca; Bivalvia; Mytilida; Mytilidae.
UCGUAAAAACGAAGACGACACGACAAGCAUUGAUCAUAAUUUACAAAACAUAAUAUAUAAAUGCAAUUGGAAUAAUGAAUCAUAUCUAAAACGAGAGAAGUUAGAAAGACUAUAUAAUUCUCAGUACGCUAGUACCGAUCACACGUCUCAUUGUUUGUCUGAAGCUAGAGGAGGAGAUUAGUUCAGUAAUCAGCGUUUUCAGCUAGAAGAGGAUAUUAGUUUAGUGAUCAGCGUUUUCAGCCAGAGGAGGAAAUUAGUUCAGUAAUCAGCGUUUUCAGUUAGAGGAGGAGAUUAGUUUAGUAAUCAGCUUAUUCAGCUAGAGGAGGAGAUUAGUUCAGUAAUCAGCGUUGUACAUGUAACUGGCACAGGCAAUCUUAAAUUCAAGAUUCAAUUGUAUGUGUACGACUACAGCCACCUAAAUCUGUUACAAAACGAUCGCCUACAUUCUUCACUUUUAUUACUAAUUCUACAUUAAAGAACUGUUCUAGCUUACUAAAAUGGUAAAUUUCAACCAUCACAUAAUGUACGACAAUCAAUAAUUAGAAACAAUGUAUAGGACACAUGUUUAACACUUACGAGGUCAUCUCUAAAACAAAACAAUCAUUACAGUAUAUAUACUGAAACAUAGGAUUUUUAAAAAGAAAGAAAAUAACGAAACAAAGCACGUGUGAAAUGUGAGUGAAUUUCUUGAAGUUAUUUAACACUGUGUACUUCUCUGAAAAGCAAAUAGUUGAUAUCAGAGUCCAUAGGUGAAAUCCUAGAAGAAUAAAGUUAAUGAAGAUUGUGAGGAGUUGCGAGAGUUGUGUUUGCCGUUUUUCACGCCUUACGGAAAUUUUUCACGCAAGAUUAACAAGAAAUCGUGUUUAACCUUAACAAAUACUUAAACCUAUCACAAUGCUGUAGUCUUCGACACGGAUUUUUUUUAUUGAGUCUCAGAAAAACAGCAGUAGAACAAUUAUCACACUUUUUGCAACAAUAUUCCAAGAAGUGUCUGAUAAAUGUAAACAAUUGAGAUAUUGGUUUUAUAUGUAUACAGUAGAUAUAUUAAGAUUUAGCUUUCUAUGAUAUGCAACUUUUUUUAAAAAGUUUUUUGAACUAUCUAAAGUGUCAACAUGCUUUGUCUGUUUUUUUGUCAAAGACUCAAACUUUGACCCAAAGAUUUAGGUAGGGCUAUAUGUGGAAUCCUUAGCCAAUAAUGAGUUUCUAAAGGAUAUUUACUGCAGUUAUACAAGAUCCAACGACACUCACAAUUCAAAUAUAAACAGCUGUAUAUAGUGUACGCUUCGAAUUGGUAAUAGAAUUGUGUGAUUUCAUUUAAUAUUGCUUUAAGGCCUUCCGCAAAAAGUUCAAUUUAUAAUGUGUAACUUGUUAGAGUCCAACAUGUCCAACAUAAAUUAAUACUCAAUGUUUGAUUGCAGUUAGUUUUGCAUAAAGCUUUCAUCGAACUGUU